RNAcentral lists this long non-coding RNA (300 nucleotides) under Homo sapiens (human). Its description in RNAcentral is "HSALNT0043627". The record is from RNAcentral. Lineage: Eukaryota; Metazoa; Chordata; Mammalia; Primates; Hominidae.
GAUCUCAUAAAAUCUGCUUUGAGUCCAACCACCAAUCUCUUGCUUGAGUUCACCACAACAGAUGACCUCAAUUGCUUUGCUGAACUAAAGGAAUCCUUUAUCUACAUAACUCAAAGUGUGGCCCAUCAACUAUUACUAGUCUGAAAUGAGAUGUACAGAAAUUGAGAGUAAUUGGGCACAAAUUUUUAUAGGAAUUUGACAUUGCCUUAACGUUCAAAUGCAUGGUCAAUGGACUGUCUUCAUUGAACAGUAUAUAGACCAGAUCAGGGAGUUUUGAAAUCAUAAGGUGAGCUACAGAUG